AUUAUUUUCUUGUAAAAAUUGUAUUGCCAAGCCUCGUACCAGGUAUUCAAUCAAUGUAAUGGAAAAGAGAGCGUAUGAUUUUUCACUACGAUAAG
Molecule: long non-coding RNA, 95 nt
Filed under: Polistes fuscatus (common paper wasp)
Lineage: Eukaryota; Metazoa; Arthropoda; Insecta; Hymenoptera; Vespidae
Description: uncharacterized LOC122515199
Source: RNAcentral